CCUACGGGCGGCAGCAGUGGGGAAUAUUGGACAAUGGGGGCAACCCUGAUCCAGCCAUGCCGCGUGUGUGAAGAAGGCCCUCGGGUUGUAAAGCACUUUCAGUGAGGAAGAACGCCUGGUGGUUAAUACCCAUCAGGAAAGACAUCACUCACAGAAGAAGCACCGGCUAACUCCGUGCCAGCAGCCGCGGUAAUACGGAGGGUGCGAGCGUUAAUCGGAAUUACUGGGCGUAAAGCGCGCGUAGGUGGCUUGAUAAGCCGGUUGUGAAAGCCCCGGGCUCAACCUGGGAACGGCAUCCGGAACUGGCAAGCUAGAGUGCAGGAGAGGAAGGUAGAAUUCCCGGUGUAGCGGUGAAAUGCGUAGAGAUCGGGAGGAAUACCAGUGGCGAAGGCGGCCUUCUGGACUGACACUGACACUGAGGUGCGAAAGCGUGGGUAGCAAACAGGAUUAGAUACCCUAGUAGUC
RNAcentral lists this ribosomal RNA (465 nucleotides) under Vreelandella stevensii. RNAcentral's name for it is "partial 16S ribosomal RNA". It matches the Rfam family "Bacterial small subunit ribosomal RNA", at positions 338 to 795 of the family's 1533-position model. The record is from RNAcentral. Lineage: Bacteria; Pseudomonadati; Pseudomonadota; Gammaproteobacteria; Oceanospirillales; Halomonadaceae.